AAAUAUUUUUUUAAAAACCCCAAAACAAAAAACCCUCACUUAGCACAGCCCCUGGAAACAGUAAGGGCACAGUGUUAUUGGUUGUUCUCAUAAUUGUUAUAGGAAUGACCCUGAGCCUAUCCUGAGAAUAAACAUGGUGCGGAGGGAAAAAUGUGUCCUGUGUCCUGUACAGAGAGGUAGAGCAUGGGGCAGCGAGCUGCCAGGCCUGGGUUCCCGCCUGGCUCUGCCACAGUUCCUUGGGUGAACUUGAGUGAGUUCACUGGGAGAGCCAGUGUUUGGAGGCUCUGUAUUAGGAGGCUGGGAGAAAAAGGGGGGCCCCUGUCGAUUCUCGGAUGUGCAUCCUUAGUGCCAGGGCUGUGCCGGCACUGGGGGUUCUGAAUAGCUACUUGGCUGCCAGCUGGAUGUAAUGCAGAGGCUUUCCUCUGGGUGCCAGAAAGAGUGGGGUUUUCUGGGAGUCAUCAUUUCUGGAUUUGGCUUGUUCCCCAGAUGGGGUGUGUUGGGAGGGGCUGAACUUGGCAGAUGACCUGGGCUCUGGGUUUGGCUCAUCUUGGACUCGCAAUGGAACCCUUUGCUUCUUUGGGCCUCUAUCUCCCCACAUGUAAACUAACUGAUUGUUCCUUUCCAGUGAUAAAAUUCUGGAUUUUCUUUCCUACCUCGAAUGACAGUAGGUACUUGAAUGACUACUGGGUGCCAGGGGCAAAGCUUUCCACACACUUUAUCAACUUAAUCCUCACAGCUCUACGAGGCAGUUACUAUUAUUCUUCCACUCUGCAGAUGAGGAAAUGGGGGCUCCGAGAGGCAGGUGGCUUCCCCGAGAUCACACAGCUCGUAACGGACAGAGAUGGAAUUUAUGCUCCCAUAGCUUUGUGUAAGAACUUGCUCACUGCUUCAGCCCUCACGGCUCUCCCAUCCUCACACACCACGUGUCACUGGGCCACUCCCCUGGGCACGUUCUCCAAAAGUGCCUCCACUUCAAUUAAUUUUUAAAGAUGACGUUAAGAACAAGAUGGAAGGAAGGAAUGACACAGCCAUGACUCAUCAUGGAGAGAAGGCAGUCGAGGGAUGGGGUGUUUUAACAUGUCUGCUGCCUCACCAGGUGCAGGUGUCACUCCCUUCGUGCCCUUCCCCCACCCCUACCCUGCCCUGUGCACUGGCCACAGCCCUGACUGGCCUGGGAAGGGACACAGCUCUGGCUGUAACUCGGGCCCUACCAUGACCAGGGUCAACCCAGCACUCCAGCUUCCCAGGACCAGGCCUCCCUGAGGCGCCCCCGUGGUCGCAAUCUUCUCAUCGGCUGCCUGAUGCUGUAUGCUUACCUGCCCCCAGACUCUCCUGAGACCCUCUGAUGCCUUCAGGUGGAUGAAUUUUUUUUUAACUCCUAUGUAGUCCAGCUGUGAAAAUAAUUCCAGUAAUUUGAGGAACGCCUGCACACUCUGUCCUGCUCUUAUUCAUGCACAGACGACAUGAACAUAUUAAGGCUCUGUGAAGUCCUGCAAUUUCCCGAAGCAUCAUGGUCCCCAUUUGACACAAGCACAGGCUCCAGACAUGCAGGCCCAGCAGCCAUGGCUCAC
Molecule: long non-coding RNA, 1571 nt
Organism: Aethalodelphis obliquidens (Pacific white-sided dolphin)
Lineage: Eukaryota; Metazoa; Chordata; Mammalia; Artiodactyla; Delphinidae
Exons: 3
Source: RefSeq, a predicted model, not a curated record